RNAcentral lists this ribosomal RNA (253 nucleotides) under uncultured bacterium. RNAcentral's name for it is "partial 16S ribosomal RNA". It matches the Rfam family "Bacterial small subunit ribosomal RNA", at positions 524 to 776 of the family's 1533-position model. The record is from RNAcentral.
UACGUAGGGUGCGAGCGUUGUCCGGAAUUAUUGGGCGUAAAGAGCUUGUAGGCGGUUUGUCGCGUCUGCUGUGAAAAUCCGGGGCUCAACCCCGGACUUGCAGUGGGUACGGGCAGACUAGAGUGUGGUAGGGGAGACUGGAAUUCCUGGUGUAGCGGUGAAAUGCGCAGAUAUCAGGAGGAACACCAAUGGCGAAGGCAGAUCUCUGGGCCGUAACUGACGCUGAGGAGCGAAAGCAUGGGGAGCGAACAGG